GAUGAAUGCUGGCGGCGUGCUUAACACAUGCAAGUCGAGCGGCAGCGCGGUCUUCGGACUGGCGACGAGCGGCGGACGGCUGAGUAACGCGUGGGAACGUGCCCCAAAGUGAGGAAUAACUGCCCGAAAGGGUGGCUAAUGCCGCAUAUGGUCUUCGGAUUAAAGGAUUUAUCCGCUUUGGGAGCGGCCUGCGUAUGAUUAGGUAGUUGGUGAGGUAAUGGCUCACCAAGCCGACGAUCAUUAGCUGGUCUGAGAGGAUGACCAGCCAGACUGGAACUGAGACACGGUCCAGACUCCUACGGGAGGCAGCAGUGAGGAAGCUUCCACAAUGGGCGAAAGCCUGAUGGAGCAACGCCGCGUGCAGGAUGAAGGCUUUCGGGUUGUAAACUGCUUUUAUAAGUGAAGAAUAUGACGGUAACUUAUGAAUAAGCACCGGCUAACUACGUGCCAGCAGCCGCGGUAA
RNAcentral lists this ribosomal RNA (463 nucleotides) under uncultured bacterium. RNAcentral's name for it is "partial 16S ribosomal RNA". It matches the Rfam family "Bacterial small subunit ribosomal RNA", at positions 28 to 523 of the family's 1533-position model. The record is from RNAcentral.